This 497-nucleotide ribosomal RNA is filed under the name uncultured bacterium. Its description in RNAcentral is "partial 16S ribosomal RNA". It matches the Rfam family "Bacterial small subunit ribosomal RNA", at positions 28 to 507 of the family's 1533-position model. The record is from RNAcentral.
GAUGAACGCUGGCGGCGUGCCUAAUACAUGCAAGUCGAGCGAACAGACGAGGAGCUUGCUCCUCUGACGUUAGCGGCGGACGGGUGAGUAACACGUGGAUAACCUACCUAUAAGACUGGGAUAACUUCGGGAAACCGGAGCUAAUACCGGAUAAUAUAUUGAACCGCAUGGUUCAAUAGUGAAAGACGGUUUUGCUGUCACUUAUAGAUGUAUCCGCGCCGCAUUAGCUAGUUGGUAAGGUAACGGCUUACCAAGGCGACGAUGCGUAGCCGACCUGAGAGGGUGAUCGGCCACACUGGAACUGAGACACGGUCCAGACUCCUACGGGAGGCAGCAGUAGGGAAUCUUCCGCAAUGGGCGAAAGCCUGACGGAGCAACGCCGCGUGAGUGAUGAAGGUCUUCGGAUCGUAAAACUCUGUUAUUAGGGAAGAACAAAUGUGUAAGUAACUAUGCACGUCUUGACGGUACCUAAUCAGAAAGCCACGGCUAACUACGUG